CUUCCUCCCCGCCCCCCUCCCGCCCGUGGCUCUCGCCUCUGCGCCCCGCCCGGGCCCUUUCUCUCCAAACGGCCGCUGCCCUCGUGGGACGUGGGGGGCAGCGGGGGCGAGAGCCUGCGGGCAUGCAGGGGCCGGAGAGGGGCCUCUCGGCCCGCGGACACGAGGGAUUGUGGCCCUGAGGCCCCCCGGGCCCGCCUUCCAGGGGCCCGCGGAGGGGCCCGAGGACCCCGAGCUGAGGCUGCCAGGGACGGUAGGAGGGAAGAGGCUGCUAGGGUCCUUAGAGGUCAUCGGAACAGUGACCUCGCGGAGGGGGGCCGGGGCCGGACCCGGGCCGAGCCGCGGGUUAUGCACAUGUGGACUCGGACCCAGGCGGGGAGUUGCGGCUUCACUGGGGGGGAGGGAACCCCGACGGCCCGUUAGGACGGAGUUAGGGGCUCUUCCCUCUUUCCCCGUAGCAGGAAAGUUUCAGGAAGUGGGGGACGCGCGAGUAGAGCGCAGGGGGUCCCUAGCUGGGCUGGAGAACUUGGGGGGGUGGUGCCCAAGGUCCCCAGGUAACGCGCCCGCCGUGGGGAGAGAGCCGCUCCUUCUAGGCAGUGCCGAUCCCCCACCGCGCCCGGGAGCUAGGACAGGAAACUGAGGCUUAGACGCGGUCAUUUCUCUGGGCAUGGUCAGGCCCUGGUGACAGCCGGAAUUCCGAGCCAAGGCUUCCAGGGCUCCUUCCAUUACACCAGGCCACCCUUCUCCAGAGUCACACCAGAAGGUUAAUGUUCGUGAAGAAAUUGAAGAGUUUUUUCCAAGAAUGUGGAAGAUAAAUCAAGAUAAAAGAAGGCUAAUGAAAAGUAUUAAAGAUCAGAAAAUUAAAAUUGAAUGGGGGAAAAAAUUGAACAGAAGAUUGGUCAGAUAGAAGCACUUGAAUUUUUUUUAAGGCUAUUAUGAAUUGUUUGAAUUGGGGAAGAAUACACGAAGUAUGAAAAAGGAAAAACUCAAUGAAGAAUGAAGAAAAG
Antechinus flavipes (yellow-footed antechinus) is the source of this 1004-nucleotide long non-coding RNA. RefSeq lists it as uncharacterized. Lineage: Eukaryota; Metazoa; Chordata; Mammalia; Dasyuromorphia; Dasyuridae. The record is from RefSeq and is a predicted model, not a curated record. The transcript has 2 exons.